UACGUAUGGUGCAAGCGUUAUCCGGAUUUACUGGGCGUAAAGGGUGCGUAGGCGGACUGUCAAGUCAGCGGUAAAAUUGAGAGGCUCAACCUCUUCCCGCCGUUGAAACUGGUGGUCUUGAGUGGAUGAGAAGUACGCGGAAUGCGUGGUGUAGCGGUGAAAUGCAUAGAUAUCACGCAGAACUCCGAUUGCGAAGGCAGCGUACCGGCAUCCAACUGACGCUGAGGCACGAAAGCGUGGGGAUCAAACAGG
RNAcentral lists this ribosomal RNA (252 nucleotides) under uncultured bacterium. RNAcentral describes it as "partial 16S ribosomal RNA". It matches the Rfam family "Bacterial small subunit ribosomal RNA", at positions 524 to 776 of the family's 1533-position model. The record is from RNAcentral.